RNAcentral lists this ribosomal RNA (253 nucleotides) under uncultured bacterium. RNAcentral describes it as "partial 16S ribosomal RNA". It matches the Rfam family "Bacterial small subunit ribosomal RNA", at positions 524 to 776 of the family's 1533-position model. The record is from RNAcentral.
UACGUAGGGUGCAAGCGUUAAUCGGAAUUACUGGGCGUAAAGCGUGCGUAGGUGGUUUGUUAAGUCUGAUGUGAAAGCCCUGGGCUCAACCUGGGAACGGCGUUGGAAACUGGCUUACUAGAGUGCGGUAGAGGGGUGUGGAAUUCCCGGUGUAGCAGUGAAAUGCGUAGAUAUCGGGAGGAACAUCUGUGGCGAAGGCGACACCCUGGACCAGCACUGACACUGAGGCACGAAAGCGUGGGGAGCAAACAGG